UCCUGGUUAGCUCAAUUGGUAGAGCGCUCCACUGGAAAUGGAGAGGUCAUGGUUCAAUACCAAGAACAGGCG
Molecule: non-coding RNA, 72 nt
Organism: Ixodes scapularis (black-legged tick)
Lineage: Eukaryota; Metazoa; Arthropoda; Arachnida; Ixodida; Ixodidae
Source: Rfam